UUAAAAAGCUCGUAGUUGAACCUUGGGCCUGGCUGACCUGUCCUCCUAAUCGAGCGCACGGGUUCGGUCGGGCCUUUCCUUCUGGGGAUCCCGAUGCCCUUCACUGGGCGUCGUGGGGAACCAGGACUUUUACCUUGAAAAAAUUAGAGUGUUCAAAGCAGGCCUUUGCUCGAAUACAUUAGCAUGGAAUAAUAGAAUAGGACAGAGGUUCUAUUUUGUUGGUUUCUAGGACCGCUGUAAUGAUUAAUAGGGAUAAUCGGGGG
RNAcentral lists this ribosomal RNA (263 nucleotides) under uncultured Ascomycota. Its description in RNAcentral is "partial 18S ribosomal RNA". It matches the Rfam family "Eukaryotic small subunit ribosomal RNA", at positions 619 to 888 of the family's 1831-position model. The record is from RNAcentral. Lineage: Eukaryota; Fungi; Ascomycota.